MicroRNA precursor from Cercocebus atys (sooty mangabey), 76 nucleotides. The record is from Ensembl. Lineage: Eukaryota; Metazoa; Chordata; Mammalia; Primates; Cercopithecidae.
GGCUCAGAGUAGGAGCUCAACAGAUGCCUGUUUACUGAAUAAUAAACAAGUAUCGCAGGAGCUUUUGUUAUAUGCC